AGUGAACGCUGGCGGCGUGCCUAAUACAUGCAAGUCGAACGGAAUUUAAGAGAGCUUGCUCUUUUAAAUUUAGUGGCGCACGGGUGAGUAAUAUAUAGCUAAUCUGCCCCUUGCUGGAGGACAACAGUUAGAAAUGACUGCUAAUACUCCAUACUCCUUUUUACCAUAAGAUAAAUCGGGAAAGAAUUUCGGCAAGGGAUGAGACUAUAUCGUAUCAGCUAGUCGGUGGGGUAACGGCCUACCGAGGCUAUGACGCGUAACUGGUCUGAGAGGAUGAUCAGUCACAUUGGAACUGAGACACGGUCCAAACUCCUACGGGAGGCAGCAGUAGGGAAUAUUGCGCAAUGGGGGAAACCCUGACGCAGCAACGCCGCGUGGAGGAUGACACUUUUCGGAGCGUAAACUCCUUUUGUUAGGGAAGAAUAAGACGGUACCUAA
This 438-nucleotide ribosomal RNA is filed under the name Campylobacter gracilis. Its description in RNAcentral is "bacterial SSU rRNA". It matches the Rfam family "Bacterial small subunit ribosomal RNA", at positions 29 to 482 of the family's 1533-position model. Lineage: Bacteria; Pseudomonadati; Campylobacterota; Epsilonproteobacteria; Campylobacterales; Campylobacteraceae. The record is from RNAcentral.